ACAUUUUUUCAAAAAUGAAGUGUAGAGUAGUCUUCAUCUGGUUGGUCUGGGGUCCAUUGACGUCAUCUUUGCUAUGCAGAAUGAUGGCCGUUGCCGCGACAUCAGCCGUUGGUGCCAGAAGCUGUUCAUGUGACCUCCACAUGCACCCUACCGGAAACUUCCAAGCAGUACACCCCCACACCCUAUCUUCACUGCAACAAAGCACCACUAUUCAAGCACAAACCAAGCCACUAGCGCAACCACAUCACUUCCCAGCCAUUCACAACCAAACGGCAAAACCACAUCCCAUCAAAUGGUGGUGGCGAUCCUGGAAGGACAUCAGAUAAAAGGACAGAGGAGUGGACAGGGAUUCAGUUGGACUGCAAUCUCCCCGGUGCACCGACAGAAAGAGGUGGGCAGAAACCUGUUUGUUUAUAUCACGAAUUCUGCACAAUGGAAAUUGUGAAAUUUGGGAGAUUUGUGGUACAAUUGUUUCAUUGUCAAUAGUUACUAAGACGUUGUGUUAUUGUUGUUGUGUUAAUUGGAAGUCAGGGUAACAGAGGACCUGACUGCCCAGGGUAACAGAGGACCUGGUAAAAGUAGGGUAACGAGGUACCUACUAGUCCAGUCGUAGACUGACUUGAAAUCGGACGCGGUUUCAUACUGUAACGUUUCGGUAGACGUUGGGGAUUUUGGGACCCCCAAAAACAGAUUUAGAAUAAGAAGAGUGUGCCACCAAAACCCUGGGGUGUGAACUGGACAGUCGAGUGUAGAGGUAAUGAAUGUGAUAUGUAUCAGAGUGAUUACCAGAAGUCAAUGGAGGAUUUGUGGAUUGAAAUAGAAGGUCAGUUGUUGGCUGGCAUUGAAAGAAAGAAGCAGAAAAAGAAACAAGCAGAAUUACAGACCUUCCCAAAGCGGCCCCCCAGUAACUUUCGUUUAUCCGGCUUCGCCGGUCGAGGGAGCCGCUCAAAUGACAGACCAAAACACCGGGGAAGUAAAACUCCCAUCGACACCCCCGGCCUACGCUACUUUUAACCCAUCUGACAAACGACAACCCACGUACCCACUGCAGGCGCCCAUAUACCAAAUAGUGGGCGAAGUGAAACUGGUUGGUACGUCAGGAACACACGACUUGACCCAACAGCAGCGAACCACUAAGAAAGAAAUAGUGACUACUAACCGACAAGGUACAGUAGACUACAACAGUUCUAAUUGGCACAUUUUGAGACAACAGGAACCUUCCUCGAGAAGAGACGAGCCCGGAGACAGUGGAGCGGGCAACACCGGCACUCGGUGGUCUCUGCCCAAACGCCCGACAGACAGGUUUGGCCAACUACGUUGCAGGAAGAGUUCACGUCUAGUAUUAAUAAAAGAAGUUCCCGCUUGAGGGAACCGCAACAUAGUGAUGAGUCUGACUCUAAAUUUGACGAUGAUCGAGAGGGAAAUCAGGAAGAGACGGACGGGGAGCUAACCCCACCGCCCCCUCUGACAGACAAAAACUUGACAGCAACCCACCGAUGACGGCGACAAGCUAAGCAAAUGACUUCUGGUGAAGCCCGAAAACGGAUGGCGAAGGCUUACCAGCCCCCAUCCCGGGACAGAGUCAAGACGAGGUCCCAGACUGGAACCAGAAUUAAGAGUCCGACUAGAUAUACCCCGACUCCCAGUAAUUAUUCUAUGAUCUCCAGUCAACAAGGUGGGUUGAUAUACCAAGAAUUCUCUUUAAAAGAUCUUGAGUUUUUACAGAAACGGCUCCCUGGACUGGCUGUUGGCGGUGAAAUGUGGAUCCAGACAGUGAAAAAGUUGACGGAUGGCAUGAGCCUGGCAUUUGGUGACGUUGUGAGAUUGAUUCGCGCCUGUUUCAUUUCGGUUCAUCAAUUGGAAAAUAUUUUGACAUGGUCUGGUCUGAAUAAUGUCGAACCUGAAAUUUUAUUUGCCCCUUUUGCUCCUCCAGUGUUUGCAGUCAUCCGUGACAUGUUCCCGUCCUCCUCGCCGGCAGUUCCGAAGCUCCCGGACUUCAAACCUCCCAUGGAUCCCAGUUCACAUUUUGAAAAUUGCAUAAGUAUUUGGACAGAUAAGACAGGGUCACAGCCCCUCCCAUGUUAGGGAGGCAAAUGUUAUUUAUAGAAUUGCUUUGCUUGACAUAUUGCCAGCUGAAAUUAGGACUGAAUGUAUAAAAGACCCUGACCUCAUGGAAGGGGGAGACAGCUAAGGGGGAGACUUUAAUCGUCAUGUGUCUCACCAUUUGAAACUUUUUGUCGACAGCCACCACAAAUCAUCAGACGAGGUAAAGGACAUGUAGGAACAACUUUUGAAGUUACAAUUGGCCCAGGCCUGAAAAGUGGCCACUGACAACAAACAAGAAGGAAAAAAGAAAAAAAAUGGAAGCAAAAAAACAGAUCGCCAACCUCCACCGGACCAAGCAUGCUUCAACUGCGGUCAGUAUGGACACUGGUACCGUCAAUGUACUGCUCCCCCACAGAUGCAACAGCGACCUCCAGUGGGACCCGGAGGGGCCCCACCUCAAAGAGGAGGCUACGGAGCUCCACGCGGCAGAGGUGGACGCGACCCGCCACCCUGGCAACAGCAACCGCAACAGGCUCCACAGCAACAACAGCCAUCUAGCCAGUUCUACUGCGACAAGGACUGGUCCGAUUACCAAUAGGGAUGCCCGGAGCCCGGGGAGGAGGUAAGGCAGAUCCUCUUAUCACAGCAAAAGUGGAGAAGACGGACAUCCACAUGCUAGUGGACACAGGUGCCACAUAUUCGUCUGUAUGUCUACCACUUCCCGCAUCCAAACACUCAGGGAAGACGACCACCUUAAUGGGCUUUGCAGGGGUGCCCAUGAGUCUGCCGAUUUCGACACCAUUAAAGACUGAAAUUGCUGGACAGACACAUGAACAUCAGUUUGUCCUGAUGAAAGGGGGAUCUCCAGUGAACCUGAUGGGGCAGAAAUCUGCUUAUCAAAACCAGGGCUACCAUCCUUUGCAGCCUGGACAGACUGACGAUACGGUUCCCAGAUGGGACCGUGAUGAACUCUGGACGGAAAUUGUCCAUGGUGCAACAUGAACUCCCGGUAGCGACCGCUGACAUUUAUUGGGCCCGACUUCAACCAGAAACAAAGGCGGGAGGCGGCGUCUACUUGGACUUCCUGCGGUGGAAACCCUGGAUCGACUCUCUUGCCUCCGACAGCCCUCCGAUUGAGCCCCUCCAUCUCACACUGUACUAUGACAAAAAUGACGAUUUGGUUUACAGAGAAGCCUUUGAGUCAAUACAGGGUGAAAACUGGACGCUCAACAGUAAAGGUAUUUACAUAGGGAAGCAAGGUGUGGCGGCUGCCUCCACCUUGACGCGAGACCAGAGUGAGUGGUUUAUGAGGAGUUCGACAUCUUUUCCACACAUUUCACUUGCACUAGGUCAUGAAGCCCGAGAACUGGGACCCAUGGACCCCAGGAGACCCAAAUUCUGACUUCCAAACACUUUGGUCCACAAAUGACUUUGUGAAACCUUCCGCUCAAGCUGCAGAACUGCUGGCCAUGUGCAGGGCACUGGAGGUCUGAAGGAAAGUUCAUGCGGUCAGUGGUUGAGGAAGCACACGCCGCGACACAUGAGUUAUGUGUCGAUGCUGAACAAGCUGCGCUUUUUGUGGCACCCUGAUCUUCUGCGUAAGGUAAUAUAAUUUUGUGUUUCUUGUGAUAUGUCAGAAUUUAAGUGUUGGCCCUACAACGAAGAGGGAACUGCAACACACUGAGAUGGGCUGAUGCCCAAAUGAUGUGGUGGUAAUGGACUACACCGACAUGGUAGUCCCAGUCCAAGGAAAAAGGUACUUAUUAAUGAUUGUCGACACUUUUUCUGGAUGGACCGAAGCUUAUUCUUGUGCAAAACAGGACGCGCCGUCGGUCAUUAAAGCGCUGGUUAACCAUUAUAUCACGACACAUGGGUUUCCAUGAGUAAUCAGGUCAGACAAUGGUACCCAUUUUACGGCUAAUUCCUUGGCCACGGUGGAAUGCAUGCUGGGGCUCAAACACAAAUUUUGCCCAGUCUACCAUCCUCAGUCCUAUGCCCAUGGGGAAAGGAUGAACAGCACAGUCAAACAACGGCUGGCGAAAACGUGUGCACACAGGGCUUAAUUGGCUCCAUGCCCUGCCCCUUGCUUUGUUCUCCAUCAUGCAAGCGAUUAACCGGCGGACAGGGUUCGCCCCAUUUGAACUCCGGACCGGCCGCCCUAUGCCUGGUCCAGCCUCUGCUUCGCUCCAGCCGGACAUGGAACCGCCGAAGGGCUAUAAGCCCUACUGGGAGCAACUGUCAUCUCUUGUGUUCUCGCUUUGUGUUUCAGAUCACUGUUCCAGACGUCCAUGUCAGUGACCCUUCCCUUCCGACUCAAAUUUAUUUGAAAGGAUAUUGUGUUUUGGUGUUAAAUUGAUCAUUUAACAUAGGGGGGAAAUAUGUACAUCCUCUAUGUCUGGCCGAAGAAGGUCAUAAUCAUGACUCUGAUGAUCUCCCUGAUUAUAGUUACAGGAAUCCAUUUCGGAAUGCCCUCAAACCAAGAAGAAUGAGUGGGAAAGAAAGCCAGGAAAGGUUUGAAACCCAUGUCUGUUAAACUUAAAUCAAUGUCUGGAGUGGAUGACAACCCAUUCCAUAACCUGGAUGUUUGGUAAAUGGAAAGGUCUCAUGCUGACUUUGGAAACUACCAUCCUGGUUGUCAUUGCUGUGCAUGCUUUGUGUGGAUGUUGUAUCAUUCCUUGUCUCAGGAGUCUCAUCCUCCGGAUUGUCCACAAGGCCUUUGAGUGGAAGGACCCUCACGGCCAAUAUCAGCUGCUGCCCCUGAAAGAGGACGUGGAGACCAUAAGCGCGCUCGCUCUGUUGGACAUCGGCUCUGUAUCCUCUCCUUAAGUUUUUUUAUAUUUGCUACAUUUAGUUUGGGCUACAUUAAGUAUUAGAGCGAACUUGGCUGCAUAAUUAGAGGGUGUUUAUCUCUGAUUAGCAGAGAUCAAAAGGGGGAUUGAUGGGAUGUGGUUUUGUCAUUUGGUUGGAAUGGCUGGGAAGUGAUGUGGUCGUGCUAGUGGCUUGGUUUGUACUUGAACAGUGGUGCUUUGUUGCAGUGAAGAUAAGGUGUGGGGGUGUGCUGCUUGGAAGUUCCCGGUAGGGUGCAUGUGGAAGUCACAGGAAACAUCUGUCGGAGAUAACCGUUGCUACAAACCAAAUGAGGAAGUAAGAAGUGUUGAGACGGCGUCUGGCACCAACGGCUGAUGUCGCGGCAACGGCCAUCAUUCUGCAUAGCAACGAUGACCUCAAUGGACCCUGGACCAAUCAGACGAAGACAACUCCACACUUCCUUUUUGAAAAAUUGUAUAAAGACUGGGUCCAGAAACAGAUAGUGUUGAUCGGUCUACACCAUCUCUGCUAAGGCUAAGAUAGGCGUAGCUGCUGACCCAGAGCUCUGAAGUAUGUAUCGACUCCUCUGUCGGGAAUAAAUUGGUUGGCUUUUAA
Phyllopteryx taeniolatus (common seadragon) is the source of this 5469-nucleotide long non-coding RNA. RefSeq lists it as uncharacterized. The transcript has 3 exons. The record is from RefSeq and is a predicted model, not a curated record. NCBI's taxonomy places the organism in Eukaryota, Metazoa, Chordata, Actinopteri, Syngnathiformes, Syngnathidae.